This 253-nucleotide ribosomal RNA is filed under the name uncultured bacterium. RNAcentral's name for it is "partial 16S ribosomal RNA". It matches the Rfam family "Bacterial small subunit ribosomal RNA", at positions 524 to 776 of the family's 1533-position model. The record is from RNAcentral.
UACGGAGGGUGCGAGCGUUGUCCGGAAUCAUUGGGCGUAAAGAGCUCGUAGGUGGUUUGUCGCGUUGUUCGUGAAAUCUCACGGCUUAACUGUGAGCGUGCGAGCGAUACGGGCAGACUGGAGUACUGCAGGGGAGACUGGAAUUCCUGGUGUAGCGGUGGAAUGCGCAGAUAUCAGGAGGAACACCGGUGGCGAAGGCGGGUCUCUGGGCAGUAACUGACGCUGAGGAGCGAAAGCGUGGGGAGCGAACAGG